Molecule: ribosomal RNA, 342 nt
Filed under: uncultured Janthinobacterium sp. FR008
Lineage: Bacteria; Pseudomonadati; Pseudomonadota; Betaproteobacteria; Burkholderiales; Oxalobacteraceae
Description: bacterial SSU rRNA
Rfam family: Bacterial small subunit ribosomal RNA
Source: RNAcentral
UAGAGUUUGAUCCUGGCUCAGAUUGAACGCUGGCGGCAUGCUUUACACAUGCAAGUCGAACGGCAGCGCGGGGCAACCUGGCGGCGAGUGGCGAACGGGUGAGUAAUACAUCGGAACGUACCCAGAAGUGGGGGAUAACGUAGCGAAAGUUACGCUAAUACCGCAUACGUUCUACGGAAGAAAGUGGGGGACCUUCGGGCCUCAUGCUUUUGGAGCGGCCGAUGUCUGAUUAGCUAGUUGGUGAGGUAAAGGCUCACCAAGGCGACGAUCAGUAGCUGGUCUGAGAGGACGACCAGCCACACUGGGACUGAGACACGGCCCAGACUCCUACNGGACGCAGCA